GCCAAGGACGCUAGACUUUCAGAGCACUGU
This 30-nucleotide non-coding RNA is filed under the name Mus musculus (house mouse). The record is from RNAcentral. Lineage: Eukaryota; Metazoa; Chordata; Mammalia; Rodentia; Muridae.